Molecule: unclassified non-coding RNA, 200 nt
Filed under: soil metagenome
Description: partial contains internal transcribed spacer 2 and large subunit ribosomal RNA
Source: RNAcentral
GCGUCAUAUACACCCUCAAGCCUUGCUUGGUGUUGGGCGUCUGUCCCGCUUACAGCGCGGACUCGCCCUAAAGACAUUGGCAGCAAUCUUGCCGGCUUCUUGCGCAGCACUCUGCGCUUCUCAAGGCCAUCGGCGGGCUAGCGUCCAUCAAGAACCCCUCGUUUGACCUCGAAUCAGGUAGGGAUACCCGCUGAACUUAA